GCCUAGAUAGCUCAGUUGGGAGAGCGUGAGACUGAAAAUCUAAAGGUCCCCGGUUCGAUUCCGGGUCUGGGCA
This 73-nucleotide transfer RNA is filed under the name Penaeus vannamei (Pacific white shrimp). Its description in RNAcentral is "Litopenaeus vannamei (Pacific white shrimp) tRNA". It matches the Rfam family "tRNA". Rfam says of the family: Transfer RNA (tRNA) molecules are approximately 80 nucleotides in length. Their secondary structure includes four short double-helical elements and three loops (D, anti-codon, and T loops). The record is from Rfam by way of RNAcentral. Lineage: Eukaryota; Metazoa; Arthropoda; Malacostraca; Decapoda; Penaeidae.